UCUCCGUUGGUGAACCAGCGGAGGGAUCAUUACCGAGUUUACAACUCCCAAACCCAAUGUGAACCAUACCAAACAGUUGCCUCGGCGGGGUCACGCCCCGGGUGCGUCGCAGCCCCGGAACCAGGCGCCCGCCGGAGGGACCAACCAAACUCUUUCUGUAGUCCCCUCGCGGACGUUAUUUUUACAGCUCUGAGCAAAAAUUCAAAAUGAAUCAAAACUUUCAACAACGGAUCUCUUGGUUCUG
Molecule: unclassified non-coding RNA, 244 nt
Filed under: plant metagenome
Description: partial contains small subunit ribosomal RNA, internal transcribed spacer 1, and 5.8S ribosomal RNA
Source: RNAcentral